Molecule: long non-coding RNA, 236 nt
Filed under: Ananas comosus (pineapple)
Lineage: Eukaryota; Viridiplantae; Streptophyta; Magnoliopsida; Poales; Bromeliaceae
Description: long non-coding RNA (ACOM_LNC032174)
Source: RNAcentral
AGUUUUUAAGUGCUUUGUCUUCUUCUUUCUUGGACAAAAAUUGGUUUAGACGGAAUUGAGAUCCAUUUUAGAUUUUUUUUUUUUUAAGAGAUAGAUAGCAUGCUAUUCUUUUCGUUUAUUUCAUAGCUGAAAAUGUGAAUCAAUUAGUAUUCGAACUUGAGAUCUCGGAUACCAACUAUCAGACUCUGAUUUUAAAACUAUUGAAUAGAUAUAAAGUUUAUUUUAUCAUUACUGAA